This 565-nucleotide ribosomal RNA is filed under the name Serratia fonticola. RNAcentral describes it as "bacterial SSU rRNA". It matches the Rfam family "Bacterial small subunit ribosomal RNA", at positions 94 to 655 of the family's 1533-position model. The record is from RNAcentral. Lineage: Bacteria; Pseudomonadati; Pseudomonadota; Gammaproteobacteria; Enterobacterales; Yersiniaceae.
AGCGGCGGACGGGUGAGUAAUGUCUGGGAAACUGCCCGAUGGAGGGGGAUAACUACUGGAAACGGUAGCUAAUACCGCAUAACGUCUUCGGACCAAAGUGGGGGACCUUCGGGCCUCACACCAUCGGAUGUGCCCAGAUGGGAUUAGCUAGUAGGUGAGGUAAUGGCUCACCUAGGCGACGAUCCCUAGCUGGUCUGAGAGGAUGACCAGCCACACUGGAACUGAGACACGGUCCAGACUCCUACGGGAGGCAGCAGUGGGGAAUAUUGCACAAUGGGCGCAAGCCUGAUGCAGCCAUGCCGCGUGUGUGAAGAAGGCCUUCGGGUUGUAAAGCACUUUCAGCGAGGAGGAAGGGUUCAGUGUUAAUAGCACUGUUCAUUGACGUUACUCGCAGAAGAAGCACCGGCUAACUCCGUGCCAGCAGCCGCGGUAAUACGGAGGGUGCAAGCGUUAAUCGGAAUUACUGGGCGUAAAGCGCACGCAGGCGGUUUGUUAAGUCAGAUGUGAAAUCCCCGAGCUUAACUUGGGAACUGCAUUUGAAACUGGCAAGCUAGAGUCUUGUAGA